RNAcentral lists this transfer RNA (73 nucleotides) under Bifiguratus adelaidae. It matches the Rfam family "tRNA". From Rfam's summary of the family: Transfer RNA (tRNA) molecules are approximately 80 nucleotides in length. Their secondary structure includes four short double-helical elements and three loops (D, anti-codon, and T loops). Lineage: Eukaryota; Fungi; Mucoromycota; Endogonomycetes; Endogonales. The record is from Rfam by way of RNAcentral.
GGUUCCUUGGCGCAAUUGGUAGCGCGUCCGACUCCAGAUCGGAAGGCUGGGGGUUCGACUCCCUCAGGGGCCA